AAGAACAGCCCUGCUGGAAAGGACUUGAAAGUAGUAGUAGAUGGGAAAUUUUCAGGACCAGAUUUGGUUUGAGCACCUAUCAGUUUGCUCACAUUUGGAAAGGAGAUGCAGCUGUACUGAGAAAAUGUAUGUCAUCCAGAUUUGAGACAUGAAGAAUGUAAUGCUUAACUAUUAGCUUGGCUAAUGUUCAGCUGAGGUUGUGGCCCUUGCUGUGAAUGAUUUGGGAUGUGAACUUCAGCACCAUGUACUGAAGGAUGACUUCAUGAUUUGGAUUCCUUACACCUUUCAUUUCAAGACAGAAAAAUCUGCUUUUCAUUUCAGAAGUAUUCCUCAUUUUCCUAUUUCAUUUAUGCUGUCACAUAUGACAUACAUAUAGAGAAAUAUAGAUAUAGAGUUUCUUGGCACUAAAUCUGUUGCCAUCUGCAUUGUAAACUAAAUCAUAUCUAAAUAUAGUACCAGAACAAAACAAUAAUUCUAUAUCUAAGUCAGAGUGGAUAUAAAAACAAGUGAUAAGAGAAGAUUCACCUGUCACUUUCUGUUAUAGAAAAGAAGGACCAUGAUUUUUUACAUGGUUCUGUGCAAGGUAGACUGUUCAAAAAUUUGCCUCUAUAGCAAGAGCAAAAAAAAAAAAUUGUCAUUCAAAAUCACUACAAUAAACCAGUUGAUUUGGUGUUAUACCAUGCCUCUAGCAGUAGACAGUGUUGGACUGAAAAAAUAAACAACCAACCUUGUCAGUUCUGCAGCAUAUUACACAUUAGCCCAUGAGGAUUUUCUCCUGCAAGAACCAGCUGAUGCGCUGCUGCUGCUGAUACCCUACUGCAGUUUUGGGCGCAUCAAGACUAAGCCCCAUUCUAUCUUUUGACCUGUGCAAAUCCUUAUGAAAGCCUAAUGAAUGUAUUUUGUGUGUUGUUUUUAUAUGUAAUACAUCACUUUUUUCUUUUUUCCUGAUGACAGAUUUUUUUGCAUGUGGAAAUAAUUAUGCUUUUGGGGACAGAGUAGAGUGAAGUUAAUUCAUGAAUGUGUUGGCAUCUAAUAUACAGUUAGCUUUUGAAUUAGUUCAUCUGAAUAAUAAUAUUACAAAGUAAGUGCACGGGUGCUUCCCUGUUACAAUUAAUUAUUUUCUUUUUGAACUUUUGUUUUAUGGAAAUGGGGGCAAAAAUAGAAGAAACAUUACAGUUGAAUACUGACUUAAGAUUCUGUUC
This 1202-nucleotide long non-coding RNA is filed under the name Gallus gallus (chicken). Its description in RNAcentral is "lncRNA (ENSGALG00010002724.1)". The record is from RNAcentral. Lineage: Eukaryota; Metazoa; Chordata; Aves; Galliformes; Phasianidae.